GACGAACGCUGGCGGCGUGCUUAACACAUGCAAGUCGAACGGGUCUGCCCUGUUUUUUGCGGGGUGGGUCAGUGGCGAACGGGUGAGUAACACGUGAGUAACCUGCCUCUCACUUCUGGAUAACCGCUUGAAAGGGUGGCUAAUACGGGGUGUUCUGGCUGUGCCGCAUGGUGUGGCUGGGAAAGAUUCACUUUUGUGGUGUUUUGGUGGGGGAUGGGCUCGCGGCCUAUCAGCUUGUUGGUGGGGUGAUGGCCUGCCAAGGCUUUGACGGGUAGCCGGCCUGGGCGGGUGGGCGGUCACACUGGGACUGAGAUGCGGAGCAGACUCCUGCGGGCGGCAGCAGUGGGGGGUAUUGCACGAUGGGAGGAAGGCUGAUGCAGCGACGUCGCGUGAGGGAUGGAGGCCUUCGGGUUGUGAACCUCUUUCGCCGGUGAAGAAGGUCCUGCUCUUUGUGGUGGGGUUGACGGUAGCCGGGUUAUGAAGCGCCGGCUAACUACGUG
This 500-nucleotide ribosomal RNA is filed under the name uncultured bacterium. RNAcentral describes it as "partial 16S ribosomal RNA". It matches the Rfam family "Bacterial small subunit ribosomal RNA", at positions 28 to 507 of the family's 1533-position model. The record is from RNAcentral.